RNAcentral lists this transfer RNA (73 nucleotides) under Roldana barba-johannis. RNAcentral's name for it is "tRNA-Thr". RNAcentral also lists the same sequence under 3 other names. Lineage: Eukaryota; Viridiplantae; Streptophyta; Magnoliopsida; Asterales; Asteraceae. The record is from RNAcentral.
UCAUAACUCAGCGGUAGAGCACUCCUAUGGUAAGGCGUAAGCCCUCGGUUCAAAUCAAAUCCGACAAGGGACU